Molecule: ribosomal RNA, 228 nt
Filed under: uncultured bacterium
Lineage: Bacteria
Description: partial 16S ribosomal RNA
Rfam family: Bacterial small subunit ribosomal RNA
Source: RNAcentral
UAAAGUGGCGCACGGGUGAGUAACACGUGACUAACCUACCCUCGAGUGGGGAAUAACCUAGAGAAAUCUGGGCUAAUACCGCAUAACACUUACGAGUCAAAGCAGCAAUGCGCUUGGGAGGGGGUCGCGGCAGAUUAGCUAGUUGGUGGGGUAAUGGCCCACCAAGGCAGUGAUCUGUAUCCGGCCUGAGAGGGCGCACGGACACACUGGAACUGAAACACGGUCCAG